Molecule: microRNA, 23 nt
Filed under: Gallus gallus (chicken)
Lineage: Eukaryota; Metazoa; Chordata; Aves; Galliformes; Phasianidae
Description: gga-miR-6593-5p
Source: miRBase by way of RNAcentral
UGCUGGGAGGGCUCUGUGCGGCU